UGCGCGCCUAACUGUAAGUCGCUUCGAAUAAAAGCAUCUGCUAAAUGCCAUAUA
This is a non-coding RNA of Salmo salar (Atlantic salmon), 54 nucleotides long. The record is from Rfam. NCBI's taxonomy places the organism in Eukaryota, Metazoa, Chordata, Actinopteri, Salmoniformes, Salmonidae.